GCAUCGUUAGCUCAGCCGGUAGAGCAGAUGGCUCUUAACCAUCGGGUCGCGGGUUCGAACCCUGUACGAUGUACCA
RNAcentral lists this transfer RNA (76 nucleotides) under Mycoplasma nasistruthionis. RNAcentral describes it as "tRNA-Lys". It matches the Rfam family "tRNA". Rfam says of the family: Transfer RNA (tRNA) molecules are approximately 80 nucleotides in length. Their secondary structure includes four short double-helical elements and three loops (D, anti-codon, and T loops). The record is from RNAcentral. Lineage: Bacteria; Bacillati; Mycoplasmatota; Mollicutes; Mycoplasmatales; Mycoplasmataceae.